This 71-nucleotide transfer RNA is filed under the name Syncrossus beauforti (chameleon loach). Its description in RNAcentral is "tRNA-Tyr". It matches the Rfam family "tRNA". Rfam says of the family: Transfer RNA (tRNA) molecules are approximately 80 nucleotides in length. Their secondary structure includes four short double-helical elements and three loops (D, anti-codon, and T loops). Further hydrogen bonds mediate the characteristic L-shaped molecular structure. tRNAs have two regions of fundamental functional importance: the anti-codon, which is responsible for specific mRNA codon recognition, and the 3' end, to which the tRNAs corresponding amino acid is attached (by aminoacyl-tRNA synthetases). tRNAs cope with the degeneracy of the genetic code in two manners: having more than one tRNA (with a specific anti-codon) for a particular amino acid; and 'wobble' base-pairing, i.e. permitting non-standard base-pairing at the 3rd anti-codon position. The record is from RNAcentral. Lineage: Eukaryota; Metazoa; Chordata; Actinopteri; Cypriniformes; Botiidae.
GGUAGGGUAGCCGAGUGUUUAAGGCAGCGGGUUGUAGCCCUGAAGACAGAGGUUUAAGUCCUCUUCCUAUC